RNAcentral lists this ribosomal RNA (499 nucleotides) under uncultured bacterium. RNAcentral's name for it is "partial 16S ribosomal RNA". It matches the Rfam family "Bacterial small subunit ribosomal RNA", at positions 28 to 507 of the family's 1533-position model. The record is from RNAcentral.
GACGAACGCUGGCGGCGUGCCCAAUACAUGCAAGUCGAGCGGACUUUCAAGAAGCUUGCUUUUUGAAAGUUAGCGGCGGACGGGUGAGUAACACGUGGGCAACCUGCCUGCAAGACGGGGAUAACUCCGGGAAACCGGGGCUAAUACCGGAUAAUAUCUUCCUUCGCAUGAAGGAAGGUUGAAAGGCGGCGCAAGCUGCCGCUUGCAGAUGGGCCCGCGGCGCAUUAGCUAGUUGGUGAGGUAACGGCUCACCAAGGCGACGAUGCGUAGCCGACCUGAGAGGGUGAUCGGCCACACUGGGACUGAGACACGGCCCAGACUCCUACGGGAGGCAGCAGUAGGGAAUCUUCCGCAAUGGACGAAAGUCUGACGGAGCAACGCCGCGUGAGCGAAGAAGGUCUUCGGAUCGUAAAGCUCUGUUGUCAGGGAAGAACAAGUACCGUUCGAACAGGGCGGUACCUUGACGGUACCUGACCAGAAAGCCACGGCUAACUACGUG